Molecule: ribosomal RNA, 301 nt
Filed under: uncultured bacterium
Lineage: Bacteria
Description: partial 16S ribosomal RNA
Rfam family: Bacterial small subunit ribosomal RNA
Source: RNAcentral
CAGUAGCCGCGGUAAUACGUAGGUGGCAAGCGUUGUCCGGAAUUAUUGGGCGUAAAGGGCUCGCAGGCGGUUUCUUAAGUCUGAUGUGAAAGCCCCCGGCUCAACCGGGGAGGGUCAUUGGAAACUGGGAAACUUGAGUGCAGAAGAGGAGAGUGGAAUUCCACGUGUAGCGGUGAAAUGCGUAGAUAUGUGGAGGAACACCAGUGGCGAAGGCGACUCUCUGGUCUGUAACUGACGCUGAGGAGCGAAAGCGUGGGGAGCGAACAGGAUUAGAUACCCGGGUAGUCCCUGUCUCUUAUAC